CCUACGGGUGGCUGCAGUGGGGAAUCUUGCACAAUGGGGGAAACCCUGAUGCAGCGACGCCGCGUGAGUGAUGAAGUCCUUCGGGAUGUAAAGCUCUUUCGACAGGAACGAUAAUGACGGUACCUGGAGAAGAAGCUGCGGCUAACUACGUGCCAGCAGCCGCGGUAAUACGUAGGCAGCAAGCGUUGUUCGGAAUUAUUGGGCGUAAAGAGUAUGUAGGCGGUUCGCUAAGUCUGAUGUGAAAUCUCCUGGCUUAACUGGGAGGGUGCGUCGGAAACUGGCGGGCUCGAGUGCGGGAGAGGGGAGCGGAAUUCCUGGUGUAGCGGUGAAAUGCGUAGAUAUCAGGAGGAACACCGGUGGUGUAGACGGCUCCCUGGACCGUAACUGACGCUGAGAUACGAAAGCGUGGGUAGCAAACAGGAUUAGAUACCCGGGUAGUC
This 440-nucleotide ribosomal RNA is filed under the name uncultured bacterium. RNAcentral describes it as "partial 16S ribosomal RNA". It matches the Rfam family "Bacterial small subunit ribosomal RNA", at positions 338 to 795 of the family's 1533-position model. The record is from RNAcentral.